Molecule: transfer RNA, 77 nt
Filed under: Vibrio cholerae
Lineage: Bacteria; Pseudomonadati; Pseudomonadota; Gammaproteobacteria; Vibrionales; Vibrionaceae
Description: tRNA-Arg
Rfam family: tRNA
About the family: Transfer RNA (tRNA) molecules are approximately 80 nucleotides in length. Their secondary structure includes four short double-helical elements and three loops (D, anti-codon, and T loops). Further hydrogen bonds mediate the characteristic L-shaped molecular structure. tRNAs have two regions of fundamental functional importance: the anti-codon, which is responsible for specific mRNA codon recognition, and the 3' end, to which the tRNAs corresponding amino acid is attached (by aminoacyl-tRNA synthetases). tRNAs cope with the degeneracy of the genetic code in two manners: having more than one tRNA (with a specific anti-codon) for a particular amino acid; and 'wobble' base-pairing, i.e. permitting non-standard base-pairing at the 3rd anti-codon position.
Source: RNAcentral
GCGCUCGUAGCUCAGCUGGAUAGAGUACCUGGCUACGAACCAGGCGGUCAGAGGUUCAAAUCCUCUCGAGCGCGCCA